AUUGAACGCUGGCGGAAUGCUUUACACAUGCAAGUCGAGCGGCAGCGCGGGACUCAGGCAACUGAGCCCUGGCGGCGAGCGGCGAACGGGUGAGUAAUGUAUCGGAACGUACCCCGUCGUGGGAGAUAACUAGCCGAAAGGUUAGCUAAUACCGCAUACGACCUGAGGGUGAAAGCGGGGGACUCCAAGGGUAACUGAGGAGCCUCGCGCGAUGGGAGCGGCCGAUAUCGGAUUAGCUAGUUGGUGGGGUAAAGGCUCACCAAGGCGACGAUCCGUAGCGGGUCUGAGAGGACGACCCGCCACACUGGAACUGAGACACGGUCCAGACUCCUACGGGAGGCAGCAGUGGGG
This 351-nucleotide ribosomal RNA is filed under the name uncultured bacterium. Its description in RNAcentral is "bacterial SSU rRNA". It matches the Rfam family "Bacterial small subunit ribosomal RNA", at positions 29 to 359 of the family's 1533-position model. The record is from RNAcentral.